GGGGGCGUAGUUCAGUGGUUUAGAACGCCGGCCUGUCACGCCGGAGGUCGCGGGUUCAAAUCCCGUCGCUCCCG
RNAcentral lists this transfer RNA (74 nucleotides) under Actinomycetota bacterium. RNAcentral describes it as "tRNA-Asp". It matches the Rfam family "tRNA". Rfam says of the family: Transfer RNA (tRNA) molecules are approximately 80 nucleotides in length. Their secondary structure includes four short double-helical elements and three loops (D, anti-codon, and T loops). Lineage: Bacteria; Bacillati; Actinomycetota. The record is from RNAcentral.